This 5817-nucleotide long non-coding RNA is filed under the name Homo sapiens (human). Its description in RNAcentral is "non-protein coding ZNF503-AS2:26". The record is from RNAcentral. Lineage: Eukaryota; Metazoa; Chordata; Mammalia; Primates; Hominidae.
GGAGAGACGCCCUUCCACCUCUGGGAGCCUCGGUCUGUUGGGGUCGCGGAGUUCGGGCGCGGCUCCGGGUACCCGAGACCAGCGGCGGCAACUUCUAACACGGGAGAUUUCCCGCCACCCCACCCCGCCGCCGCGAGUCCUCGCGGGGCGUGUUGCGUGCGGAGGUCAGGCUGCCACCCUCUGUAGUUCCCUAACCCCAAACUCGGAGACUUCUAAGAGCCACACCACCAAGGAACUUCUAGUCCUGGAGGUCAAUGGUGGGGCAAACCUCGCCUCAAUUCUUUGACCCCCUCGGGUCGUAAGCAGGGCUAAGAGGCUGCGAAGAAGAGGCCUGGCCAUGGGUGUAUGGGGGAAGAAACAUCUCAGGCUCACUCAUGCCCCCUCCCCGACCUUCUCCCACCUGCCGCCAUCCCCGCAGGCUGGGGAGCCAGGGUAACUCGGGGCUGCUCUCUCGAAUUUAUUGGAACGCCGAGUCGGAAUGAGCUGCGCUAGGAGAGCCGAGGGAAGGAGCGAGAGAGGGAGGGGGCGGCUGCCUGUGGGAACGCGGGUUCUUCCAGGGAAGCGGAGCGGGACUGCCGCGUUCCCCUCGAUUUGCACCGUCACUCGGGUUGUUUGGGAAGAAAAGGGGAGGCGCUGUGCGUGCCACCGGGUACCUGGACCUGGAUGCCCAGUGUGUAUGCAUGCCUGUGGCGCUGCAAUCGACGGGAUUUCUCUGGCUGUCGUUUGCGCUGCAUUUAUCCGAAUACAUCCAGCUCGCAGGCAUCCUGCAAGAAACGGCUCCCGGCUCGCGUGUACGCCGACACCUCGGCCCAACGCAGGACUCGAGGUGGUUUCUAGUGCCCGGGUGGCUGCAAGUCUGCCCUCCGAGGGAGGCUGGACAAGCGGCGCCCCCAGGUCGAGCGGCCUCUCGCUGCCUGGCAGUGCCUGGCAGCCCCCACCUCUGCCAGUGCUUCGGAAACCCGCCUGGCCAGGUUCGCCCGCGGUGAAAAAUGAAAGCAAAUUCCCCAACAGAGGUAGCCGGAACUUUCCUCGACGAAGGCUCCCUCCUGCGCCUGUGUCUGGAGAACCCCCAGAGCGCUGCAAGUUAGCAAGAGAGAUUCGAUGGCGGCUCUGGAAGGCGCACGAAGGGUGGGGCGGGGGAGCAAAGAGGCCACUGGGUGACCCAGCCUGGUCCGGGGUGAAACGCUAGAGAAGGCGCCUCGCCUUCCUUAUUUCAAUGCAACUCCUCGGCCCCAGACGGUAAAAAUAGUUUCCAAGCUGCCGCGGACGCCCAGGAUGUGUUUGCAGAGAUCAAACUGGGGAGGAGGCAGCUUUGUAAAAGUUGCAGAAAGAUUAGCCGAGAAGCGUCCGCCCGGCGGGGCUCAAGAAAGCUUGGGGACAGCUCCAUGUUCCUUGGGGCGGAAUGGCCCAAGAAUUGGCCUGGGUAACCCCCUGCCCAGUUCUCUGUCCUCACUUCGAGCCAGUGCUUAAAUAACUUCCCGCCGCCUGCCCUGCAAACUUCCCGGCGCGGCGCCGUUGAGGCCAGGACACAGCAAAGGCUAGCAAAACCCCGCCGCGGCGCGCUCGGCCCCGGCCCUGAGAGGCUGCGCGGGUGGGAGGACCAGUGUGGUUUCUGCUCCCACUCGGCUGCCCAGACCCUCAAGACCGAUCCCCCAACUCCUGGGAGCGGGUGCUUCCCUCUGGGAGCCGAGAUCUUGCGGGGCCAGCGAGGGCGCAAAGUGCGCGCGCUGGCCCGCGCGGGGGCGGCCGCGCGUCUCUCCGCGGGGCCUGUCGCCAGGCCGGCCGCGGCGCGUGAGUGAUGAGGGCAGAGAAGGGCGCCCAUAAAUCGCGGGUGUCAGGGCGAAAAACUCUCUUUAUUGUCUGCGUGAUGGAUGGGCCCGGGGACGAGACACCAAAUACUUCGUAUCGCCUUUAAAUGGGAACACAUUUUCCGCGGCCAUAAUUCAUGUUUUUUAAAUAGAAAGUUUGAAAUGUUGCCUAUAUUUCACCAGCCCUGACAUAUUUAUGAAUCGCUCCCUGCAUGCAAAUAUCAUUACUUAAAGCGCCGGGGAGAGCGCGGGGGAGGGGAGGAGGCGCGGUUCCCGGGGCGUGGGGGUGGUGAACCGGGGAAAUAUCGGUGGAGGGGGGCCAUCUCCCUAAAGGGCAGAGGGUGAGGUGCGGUGAAUAGCCGUAUCCGGAAACCGAGCGUGCCCCGGGCUUCUUUCCCGCCGCCAGACCCCGCACAGCCGCCCUGGGACGUUUUUCGAGGCUUGGGACCUAAGACGGGUCCCCGGACCCUGCUGGGAAACCAGGGGGCGUUUUUCGUCCCUCUCUGAGGCCAUUAUCCAAGCUGAAACCACCUUUUAUAAGAAAAAAGUUUAAAGAAAAAAAAUUUAACAAACACAAAUAAUAAUAAUAACCCAACAUGUUUCGCGUUCUUUGCCACUGCAUCGAUUUUAUUGAUUUUCAUUCUGCAAACCUGGGAAUGUGCGCGCUCGGGAGGGGAGGCUGUCAAAACCCAGUCAUCGCGGGGACUGGAUGGGGGACAAUUCUCCGACGCCGCGGCCUGGACCCGCCCCCACCCAACCGGCGCACCACCUCCCAGGCACCACGGAGCCUGCGCAAGCUGCGGGGCCGUAAAGGAACCGGCCCCCAAUCUCCGGGGCUUCAGUCCCGCCCCUCUCUCCCCCCAGUGCCCUGCAGCGCUCCCAGGGUCCGUGUCUGCCCUCCCCAAGCCCCCACUGUCAAUACAAUCCCUGUUAAAAAAAAAAAAUCUUUUUAGAGCCAGGCACGUGCCGUCGGCCUCUCCCCUGCCCGCCUGGCCCAGGAGGCGCCCACACCUGCGCCCUCACUUGCCGAGACUUUUACCUGUGCAGUCCCCGGCGGCGCCUGCAGCCGCGCAGGUAACCGAGAAAUGGAAGGGAGGGCUGGGGAGUGAGAAGGACAGAGAGCACCGCCCGACACAACCAGACGCGCGGACCCGGGGCCUCCUCUCUGGACCGGUGCUGGGGCCCUGGUAGAACCAGCUCCGGGAGCCGAAAUUGAGCCAUGAAGAGUGGGCCGAGGGAGGGGCGAGGGGAACGGGCCUCAGGAGGGAGGGGCGGGCCCGGCGGCACUUCCGUUGGGGGUGGGGCUGCGGGCUGCCGCGCCGGUCCCGCCCCUCCGCCGCGCGGGCCCGCCCGCUCCAGGCCAGGCUCCGCCCCCACCGACUCGGAGCUGGAUCUCAGGCCACGGCGCCCCCCCAGUCGCGCCCCCAACCCCGGAGGCCUCGGGCUGAACCGGGUUUCGCAGGAGGGCACAGGGCGGCUCCCUUUUCCUCACCUGGGGGUACUCUCUUUUUAAGUCAUAGGAACAGAAGCAUCUGCAGACUAGGAUCCCAGGCCCAAACUUGCACGUGAGAUUUGUUGAAACUUAGGUCAUUUGGUACUCCUGACACCUGCCUGGCCCAGGGGUCCUCACGCUCUCUCUGCGGAUGUGAUCAGCCGUCCUCUUGGACAGUGGGGAAUAUAGUCCGUGCUCAUAGGGUCCCACCUAUCUUUCAGGAAGAACAAAAGCAAAAACUAACACUUUUUGAUUGUUCAUUUUGUGCCAGGUGCCAUUUAAAAAUUUUGUAUGAAUUAUGUCCUCGCCCACAGCGACUCUCUGAGAUCUGGGGCAUGCCAACUCCUUACUCUGGGGGAGUAUUGGAGGGAGAAUUCUACUUUUCUGAUGGGGGAGUACCAGCCUGUUAACCACAACCAUUUGCAGCUGAAGCCAGUGCAGAGCAGGAGGGAGAUCUGCACAGAGGAGAACAGUAUAAAUGGCAUGGGGUCAUCUCAGCCCCUGGCCAGCUCCCAGCCUAAUGGGAAAACCGGACCAUUGAGCAUUCCUUGCUGUUUCCCUGUAGUCCCAGCCCAAGCCAGCAUGCUCUUUUUUUAAAAAGCAAAUCCAACCAUGUUUCUCUUCUGCUUAAAGGCAUCCGGGUUCCCAUUGUUCUUGAGAACAAGUUGAGCUUGCCUCCCCUGGCUGGCGGGUCUACACUGGCUCUGCCCCAGCUUGCCUUUCUGCCUUUGUCUGCCUCCACACCCCCUCACCUGGAACUCCUGCUACCCAAGGCUUCCUUUUAGUUCCUCAAAUGUGCCAUGCUACUCCCCACCUCAAGGGCUUUGCUCCUGCUUUUCUCUGUCUCUCUGGAAUGACCUGUCCUUCUCUUCACCUGGCUUGCGCAUACUCUUCCUUCAGGUCUCAGCUCACACAUCACUUUCCUGCAUCCUCCCGCCUCCCAUUACCCUCACUUAUAAUAGAAUUUCCUGUUGAGAGUCUGUCCGCUUCACUGGAUGGUAAACUCCCAGGGGGUAGGGACUAGGGCCGUUCCUUCAAGGAACAAAUGAAGAAGGAACAUUUGUAUAAACCACCAACUAUGAUGAACGAAUGAAACUGCCCUUUUUGGGGCCACCAGUAAGUAUUCUCCAUGGUCUCACAUUCCAAGAUGUUCUCAACUUAAUGAGGGCGAUGAUACAAAUCUCAUGAAAACAUAUGUUAUUUUGAAUGCCUUUAUUGUAAAUGUCAAAUAAGGGGAUGCUGGAGGAGGUUGGAGAAGAGGAAUAUGCAUGGAUUACAGCCAUUUAUUCAGGGUUUCAAGAUGCAAGAUGUGUUGGUUGACACAAUUUAAUGGAAAACCAUGCCACCCACGACCAUCUCCCAGUGUUGGGCAUGUAUGUCUCAAGGCUCUAGCCUGCACCCCCUUUCCUCUUCCUUUCUUCACAUAUUAUUGCUAUCACAGUUCAGUUCUUACUAGUUUCUGACUUAACUGCUGCUACAAGAACCUUCUAAUUGUUCUGCCCAUCCUCCACCUCUCCUGCCUCUAAUCCAUCAUACAUACUCCUGCUGGGUUAAUUUUCCUGACCACAUCAUUCCCUUACUCAAAACUCUUCAGUGGCUCCCUAUGAUACAGUGUAACACUUGACUCUUCAUAGCCCACUUCCAAACUACUUUUGUAAAGCUUUAAGAUGCAUUCCAAAAUUAUGAAAGAAACACAUGUUCACCUCAACCAGGAAAACACUCAAAGAUAUACAAAGAAAAACAUCAGUGAUCUUCCUCACCUCCUCUGCAUUUCCCACCCAGUCUCCCAAGACAUCCAUUGUUAAGGACCUGGGGUAUAACUUCUACCUCUUUCACCAUGCUCCAUGCUCAUAAUAAACUAUAUUCAUAUAUGUGGAGCUAUUGUGUUAUUGCCUAUUUAUACAAAAAGGAUUAUAUUAGGGGUCUCUGCAACUCGCUCAUUCAUUCUUAAUAAUAAAUGGGUCUAUAGAUAUGGAAUGAAUAUAUUCAUUUUUUAGCUACAUAGUAAUUUUAAUUUAUUUUUAUUUUUUUUUAAUGUAUGUAUAUAUGUAUGUAUUUUAGACAGGGUCUCACUUUGUUGCCCAGGCUGGAGUGCAGUGGCACAAACAUGGCUCACUGCAGCCUUGACCUUCCAGACUCAAGCGAUCCUCCCGCCUCAGCCCCUCAAGUAGAUGGGACUACAGGUACACACCACCACGCCUGGCUAAUUUUUGUAUUUUUCGUAGAGAUGGGGUUUUUCCAUGUUGCCCCAGCUGGUUUUGAACUCCUGAGCUCAAGGGAUCCACCUGCCUUAGCCUCCCAAACUGUUGGGAUUACAGGUCACCAUGCUGGCCAGCUACAUAAUGUUUCAUAAGAUGUAUAUACUGCACCUAUUCAACCAUUCCCCUAUUAGUGGGCACAUAGAUUGUUACCAGGUUUUUUUUGCUAAUAAAAUUUCUUAUGUCUAUAUCCUUGCAAUUAGUGAUUUUACUUCUCUAGGAUAGUUUACCAAAAGUGCAGCUACUUACACGUCAGCCA